AGAGUAACCGAUUACUCAGAAUAAGUAACUGAUUACUCCAAGCAGGUAUUUAAGGGAAAAUUGCAUUUUUCAGAACCUCAUCUUCUUCCCUCUACUCUCUAACUCGUGGUCAAUCAUUUUCCCUCUAGAAUCUUCAUUUCUUAACCUUUUUGGGUAAUUUUUGUGUCCAUUCAUAUCACAUUGUUCAUUCUAAACACUUCUACAC
RNAcentral lists this long non-coding RNA (205 nucleotides) under Lupinus angustifolius (narrow-leaved blue lupine). RNAcentral describes it as "long non-coding RNA (LANG_LNC002272)". The record is from RNAcentral. Lineage: Eukaryota; Viridiplantae; Streptophyta; Magnoliopsida; Fabales; Fabaceae.